RNAcentral lists this microRNA (24 nucleotides) under Gossypium raimondii (Peruvian cotton). RNAcentral's name for it is "gra-miR8667". Lineage: Eukaryota; Viridiplantae; Streptophyta; Magnoliopsida; Malvales; Malvaceae. The record is from miRBase by way of RNAcentral.
UUUCCAAUAGUUUUAUGCCACAUC